This 427-nucleotide ribosomal RNA is filed under the name uncultured bacterium. RNAcentral's name for it is "bacterial SSU rRNA". It matches the Rfam family "Bacterial small subunit ribosomal RNA", at positions 28 to 456 of the family's 1533-position model. The record is from RNAcentral.
GAUGAACGCUAGCGGCAGGCCUAAUACAUGCAAGUCGAACGGGUGUGAGCAGCAAUGUUCACACUAGUGGCGCACGGGUGCGUAACGCGUAUGCAACCUACCUUUUACCGGGGGAUAGCCUUCCGAAAGGGAGAUUAAUACCGCAUAAGAUCACACUUUGGCAUCAGGGAGUGAUUAAAACUGAGGUGGUAAAAGAUGGGCAUGCGUCCGAUUAGCUAGUUGGUGAGGGAGUGGCCCACCAAGGCGACGAUCGGUCGGGGACCUGAGAGGGCGAUCCCCCACACUGGCACUGAGAUACGGGCCAGACUCCUACGGGAGGCAGCAGUAGGGAAUAUUGGUCAAUGGACGCAAGUCUGAACCAGCCAUGCCGCGUGAAGAUGAAGGUCCUCUGGAUUGUAAACUUCUUUUAUAUGGGACGAAACCCGGG